Molecule: ribosomal RNA, 405 nt
Filed under: uncultured bacterium
Lineage: Bacteria
Description: bacterial SSU rRNA
Rfam family: Bacterial small subunit ribosomal RNA
Source: RNAcentral
UCGAGAAUCUUGGGCAAUGCGCGAAAGCGUGACCCAGCAAUGCCGCGUGCAUGAUGAAGGCCUUCGGGUUGUAAAAUGCUGUCACCCGGGACGAAAAAAAUGACGGUACCGGGGGAGGAAGCCACGGCUAACUACGUGCCAGCAGCCGCGGUAAUACGUAGGUGUCAAGCGUUGUUCGGAUUUAUUGGGCGUAAAGGGUCCGCAGGGGGUUGGACAAGUCUGAUGUGAAAUCCCAGAGCUCAACUCUGGAACUGCAUUGGACACUGUCUGACUAGGGUAUCGGAGGGGAGAUUGGAAUUCCAGGUGUAGCGAUAAAAUGCGUAGAUAUCUGGAAGAACACCGAAAGCGUAGGCAGAUCUCUGGACGAUUACUGACCCUCAAAGACGAGAGCAUGGGGAGCAAUCA